GGCUCAGAACGAACGGCUGGCGGCGUGCUUAACACAUGCAAGUCGAACGCGAAAGGGACUUCGGUCCUGAGUAAAGUGGCGCACGGGUGAGUAACGCGUAGAUAACCUGUCUUCAUGUCUGGAAUAAUACGCCGAAAGGGGUACUAAUACCGGAUAUUCUUGCUUUUCAUAAGUUAUGCAAGCAAAGGUGGCCUCUGCAUAUGCUACUGCAUGAAGAGGGGUCUGCGUACCAUUAGCUAGUAGGUGGGGUAAUGGCCUACCUAGGCGACGAUGGUUAGCGGGUCUGAGAGGAUGAUCCGCCACACUGGCACUGGAACACGGGCCAGACUCCUACGGGAGGCAGCAGUGAGGAAUAUUGCGCAAUGGGGGAAACCCUGACGCAGCGACGCCGCGUGAGGUAGAGGAAGGCCUUCGGGUCGUAAAGCUCUGUCAAGAGGAAAGAAGUGUACAAUGGCUAAUACCUGUUGUAUUUGACGGUACCUCUAAAGGAAGCACCGGCUAACUCCGUGCCAGCCGCCGC
RNAcentral lists this ribosomal RNA (520 nucleotides) under uncultured bacterium. RNAcentral describes it as "bacterial SSU rRNA". It matches the Rfam family "Bacterial small subunit ribosomal RNA", at positions 21 to 518 of the family's 1533-position model. The record is from RNAcentral.